GAUGAACGCUGGCGGCGUGCCUAAUACAUGCAAGUCGAGCGAACGGACGAGAAGCUUGCUUCUCUGAUGUUAGCGGCGGACGGGCGAGUAACACGUGGAUAACCUACCUAUAAGACUGGGAUAACUUCGGGAAACCGGAGCUAAUACCGGCUAAUAUUUUGAACCGCAUGGUUCAAAAGUGAAAGACGGUCUUGCUGUCACUUAUAGAUGGAUCCGCGCUGCAUUAGCUAGUUGGUAAGGUAACGGCUUACCAAGGCAACGAUGCAUAGCCGACCUGAGAGGGUGAUCGGCCACACUGGAACUGAGACACGGUCCAGACUCCUACGGGAGGCAGCAGUAGGGAAUCUUCCGCAAUGGGCGAAAGCCUGACGGAGCAACGCCGCGUGAGUGAUGAAGGUCUUCGGAUCGUAAAACUCUGUUAUUAGGGAAGAACAUAUGUGUAAGUAACUGUGCACAUCUUGACGGUACCUAAUCAGAAAGCCCCGGCUAACUACGUG
Molecule: ribosomal RNA, 497 nt
Filed under: uncultured bacterium
Lineage: Bacteria
Description: partial 16S ribosomal RNA
Rfam family: Bacterial small subunit ribosomal RNA
Source: RNAcentral